RNAcentral lists this ribosomal RNA (253 nucleotides) under uncultured bacterium. RNAcentral describes it as "partial 16S ribosomal RNA". It matches the Rfam family "Bacterial small subunit ribosomal RNA", at positions 524 to 776 of the family's 1533-position model. The record is from RNAcentral.
UACAGAGGUGGCAGGCGUUGUUCGGAAUUACUGGGCGUAAAGGGCGCGUAGGCGGUUCGUUAAGUCCUGUGUGAAAUCCCCCGGCUCAACUGGGGAACUGCACAGGAAACUAGCGGGCUUGAGUUCGGGAGAGGGAAGCGGAAUUCCGGGUGUAGCGGUGAAAUGCGUAGAUAUCCGGAGGAACACCGGUGGCGAAGGCGGCUUCCUGGACCGACACUGACGCUGAGGCGCGAAAGCUAGGGGAGCAAACGGG